RNAcentral lists this ribosomal RNA (527 nucleotides) under uncultured bacterium. Its description in RNAcentral is "bacterial SSU rRNA". It matches the Rfam family "Bacterial small subunit ribosomal RNA", at positions 981 to 1509 of the family's 1533-position model. The record is from RNAcentral.
UUGACAUACUAAGAACUUUCCAGAGAUGGAUUGGUGCCUUCGGGAACUUAGAUACAGGUGCUGCAUGGCUGUCGUCAGCUCGUGUCGUGAGAUGUUGGGUUAAGUCCCGCAACGAGCGCAACCUUUUCCUAUUUGCCAGCGGGUCAUGCCGGGAACUUUAAGGAUACUGCCAGUGACAAACUGGAGGAAGGCGGGGACGACGUCAAGUCAUCAUGGCCCUUACGGCCAGGGCUACACACGUGCUACAAUGGUCGGUACAAAGGGUUGCUACCUCGCGAGAGGAUGCUAAUCUCAAAAAGCCGAUCGUAGUCCGGAUCGCAGUCUGCAACUCGACUGCGUGAAGUCGGAAUCGCUAGUAAUCGCGGAUCAGAAUGCCGCGGUGAAUACGUUCCCGGGCCUUGUACACACCGCCCGUCACACCAUGGGAGUUUGUUGCACCAGAAGUAGGUAGUCUAACCGCAAGGAGGACGCUUACCACGGUGUGGCCGAUGACUGGGGUGAAGUCGUAACAAGGUAGGCGUAGAUGA